This 220-nucleotide unclassified non-coding RNA is filed under the name Hevea brasiliensis (rubber tree). The record is from RNAcentral. Lineage: Eukaryota; Viridiplantae; Streptophyta; Magnoliopsida; Malpighiales; Euphorbiaceae.
GACACCAUUGAUCUUAAAUGGACCUGCAGCAGGCAGCAACAUAAAUUACCUAACGAAGCAUAUGUCAAUAAUUUUCCUGUUUGCCUGUAGAGCUUGUGCACACAACAAUCAUGCCCUUGCAUGAGAAGCAGGCCUUCAAGUCACAAAAGUUCUGCUCAUUAAUUAAAUAGAUUGUUUCCUAAGAAGGUUUAAGUGCUUCCAAUAUGUGUGUGUGUGUGUG